AGAUUUUUAGUGUAGUGGUAACACAACAGAUUCCAAAUCUGUUAUCGCGGGUUCGAUUCCUGCAAAGUCUG
This 71-nucleotide transfer RNA is filed under the name Bacteriophage sp. RNAcentral's name for it is "tRNA-Trp". It matches the Rfam family "tRNA". From Rfam's summary of the family: Transfer RNA (tRNA) molecules are approximately 80 nucleotides in length. Their secondary structure includes four short double-helical elements and three loops (D, anti-codon, and T loops). The record is from RNAcentral.